AUUGAACGCUGGCGGCAUGCCUAACACAUGCAAGUCGAACGCGAAAGAGGGGCAACUCUCGAGUAGAGUGGCGGACGGGUGAGUAAUACGUAGGAAUCUGCCCUAGAGUGGGGGAUAACCUGUCGAAAGACGGGCUAAUGCCGCACAUACUCUGAGGAGCAAAGGUGGCUAGCAAUAGCCUUCGCUUUAGGAUGAGCCUACGUCGGAUUAGCUAGUUGGUAGGGUAAUGGCCUACCAAGGCAACAAUCCGUAGCUGGUCUGAGAGGACGAUCAGCCACACUGGAACUGAGACACGGUCCAGACUCCUACGGGAGGCAGCAGUGGGGAAUAUUGGACAAUGGGGGAACCCCUGAUCCAGCAAUGCCGCGUGUGCGAUGAAGGCCUGCGGGUUGUAAAGCACUUUCGUUGGGGAAGAAAUGCUCAAAGAUAAUACAUUUGAGAGCUGACGUUACCCAAAGAAGAAGCACCGGCAAACUCUGUGCCAGCAGCCGCCGUAA
This 497-nucleotide ribosomal RNA is filed under the name uncultured bacterium. RNAcentral's name for it is "partial 16S ribosomal RNA". It matches the Rfam family "Bacterial small subunit ribosomal RNA", at positions 30 to 523 of the family's 1533-position model. The record is from RNAcentral.